CUACAAAGGAAUUGACGGGGCCGCACAAGCGGUGGAGCAUGUGGUUAAUUCGACGCAACGCGAAGAACCUUACCAGGGCUUGACAUCCCCUGACCGCGUAUGAAAGUACGUUUUCACCCUCGGGUGACAGGGAGACAGGUGGUGCAUGGUUGUCGUCAGCUCGUGUCGUGAGAUGUUGGGUUAAGUCCCGCAACGAGCGCAACCCCUACGUUUAGUUGCUAACGCGUGAAGGCGAGCACUCUAGACGAACUGCCGUUGACAAAACGGAGGAAGGUGGGAUGACGUCAAAUCAUCAUGCCCCUUAUGUUCUGGGCUACACACGUGCUACAAUGGCCGGUACAGACGGACGCAAAGCCGCGAGGUGGAGCAAAUCCUAAAAAGCCGGUCUCAGUUCGGAUUGCAGGCUGCAAUUCGCCUGCAUGAAGUCGGAAUCGCUAGUAAUCGCAGGUCAGCAUACUGCGGUGAAUACGUUCCCGGGCCUU
RNAcentral lists this ribosomal RNA (482 nucleotides) under uncultured Pelotomaculum sp. RNAcentral describes it as "bacterial SSU rRNA". It matches the Rfam family "Bacterial small subunit ribosomal RNA", at positions 903 to 1382 of the family's 1533-position model. The record is from RNAcentral. Lineage: Bacteria; Bacillati; Bacillota; Clostridia; Eubacteriales; Desulfotomaculaceae.